GACGAACGCUGGCGGCGCGCUUAACACAUGCAAGUCGAACGGAAAGGCCUGCUUUCCCUUGUGGAUUGCGGGUACUCGAGUGGCGAACGGGUGAGUAACACGUGAGUGAUCUGCCCCCAACUUGGGUAUAAGCCUGGGAAACUGGGUCUAAUUCCCGAUAGGACUGCAGGGUGGUGCCUGUGGUGGAACACGAUUUUCUAGUGGUUGGGGAUGAGCUCGCGGCCUAUCAGCUUGUUGGUGGGGUAAUGGCCUACCAAGGCGGCGACGGGUAGCCGGCCUGAGAGGGUGGACGGCCACAUUGGGACUGGGAUACGGCCCAGACUCCUACGGGAGGCAGCAGUGGGGAAUAUUGCACAGUGGGCGGAAGCCUGAUGCAGCGACGCCGCGUGGGGGAUGACGGCCUUCGGGUUGUAAACUCCUUUCGACCGCGAGGAAGCCACCUGGUUGGAAGGGUGGUGACGGUAGUGGUAGAAGAAGCACCGGCUAACUACGUG
RNAcentral lists this ribosomal RNA (494 nucleotides) under uncultured bacterium. RNAcentral's name for it is "partial 16S ribosomal RNA". It matches the Rfam family "Bacterial small subunit ribosomal RNA", at positions 28 to 507 of the family's 1533-position model. The record is from RNAcentral.